CCACGGGGAGGGGGCGGCUCGGCGCGGCCGGGCCCGGCUCCUGCGCGGCCCUAUCCCGGCUGGGGAAAAGGCUUGUCAGUCAGCGGAAAUCUGAAACUUGACAGAAAACCAGCCCCAUCCUGGGCCGCGUCAAAACCAGCGCGGGCAGCGGGGCGUUCUGCCUCUGCUCCGCCCUAGUGAGACCCCACCUGGAGCACUGCAUCCAGCUCUGGGGUCCCCAGCAGAAGAAGGACAAGAAAAUGAGUCCAGAGGAGGCCAUGAAGGUGAUGAGGGGUCUGGAACACCUCCUCUACAAAGACAGGCGGAGGGAGCUGUGGCUGGUGAAGAGAUGGGGAAGAGAAGGCUGUGUGGACACCCCACAGCAACCUUCCUGUAUCUGAAGGGAGGUUCAUCAGGUUCUGUAGUGAUAGGACCAGCAGUAAGGGGUACGAAUGAAGAGAUGAAAUUUAAGUGAGAUUUUGGGAAGAAGUCCUUCACUGUGAUAGUGGAUGAGACGCUGGAAUAGAUUGCCCAGAGAAGCUGUGGGUGCCUCAGUCCUCGCAGCAUUGAAGUUGAAUAAGGCUUUGAUCAACAUGGUCUAGUGGGAGAUUUCUCUGCCUAUGGCAUGGGAAGGGGGUUGGGACAGGGUAAUCUUUAAAGUCCAUUCCAACCUCUUGACAUUCUGUGAUUUUCACACAGACUUUGAAAUAUGCAGGUGCAUAGACAAAUUUCUCAUCAGUAAAAACAGAUGUUUAAUUUCAUCAGGACUUCGUGAUACUGCUGGAAGUUGUGCAGCUUGUUUAUUUGCGGUGAACAUCCCAGCUUAAAGGUAACGUGCUCAGGCUUUGUUGUGCUGUGUGUGGUGGCACCAGAAUGAGUACUCAUGAAUUCUGCAGCACUUGCUUCUUCCCCCACAUCAGCCAUGGCAAGGCCUGGUUGUGGCAUCAGGACUGAAUAAAGAAAGGAGCUAUGGUUAAUAACAGAAAUCAGGUAGCACAUGGUUCUGUAUGCUGCAAUAAAAGACUGCUUGAAUUGGCCAUCCUCCUGUUUUGGGGCUCUCAGAAUUACCAUUGUGUUGCAAAACUAAGGAUCAAAUUAAUACGCCUUGGUGUUUAGAGUUGAGUUUAGGUCUCUAAGCAACGCUGCCAUGGUGUCUGCUUUGCCCUCCAUGCACACCAGCAGACAUACCAGCAUGAAACAAGUCAGACAAUAAAAGCAGUAACAAAUGGAGGUUCAAGGUGUUUGCUGUGUUUUGUUGUAACUUCACAUGAUUCAAGACUGCUAUGACCUGUUUGAAAAUGGUUGAAAUUUCAGCAAUGCAUAUGUUAAUAACAUAACAAUUUAGUUUAGCCAGAACAUGCAUUAGAUAUAAAAGAAGUUGACUUGUUUCCUUACACAGGACCUGGCAAAGGUUGUUGUAAUUGUAGUUAAUGCAGGUCAGUAAUGAGGCUCUUAAAAGUUGUGAAGUUUGUCUUUUUCAAGUUUAUUUCCUUCAAAUUAGCCCUUGAGAAGUGAAAACAUGCCUUUGAGCCACCCUGUGCCAUUUUCAUCAUUCAGUGUUACUUAAUCAGGGGAAGAAAGCUGUACUGCUUCAGAACAGAGGCUCAGGUGAAGCCAUUUUGGUGGUUGUUUUGGAGAACUAGCUACUGCAUUCCUUCAUGCGGUUGCUCAGCAGCUCCUCCAUGCCUUCCUUCUGGAGAAGCGAAAGUCUAAAAAUAAUGUCCUAUUUGUUCGUGUGGAGCACCAUGAAGGGCAAAUGUGCAUGUGGGGGGAGGAAUAGGCAGGCUAUCGCCUUGCAUUUAUUAUGUUUUACUGUUUAAACAGGGCGAUAGCUUGUGAUUCACAGCCCUUUCCACUGUAGAGCCCGCAGUAUGCCAAAGGCUUCCAGUGGAAAGAAAUAAAAAAAAUUUGUUUGCAGUUGAAGAACAUUUUAGUUUAUGGGAAGGAAUUUUGAAACAUCAUAUCAAAUUACAUCAAGAGAGACAGCACCAUUCUAAAAGAUGCAGAAGAUAAAAAGGCAUUAAAAGCAGAACUAAAUUCACUGCCACGUUGUAAUGUUGUCUUGAAGCUGAAGGCAGACAUUUAGUCAUAUGCAGUGGCUCCCAGACUGAAGAACUAGUGAACACGUUUCUGAGCAAAGGUCAAUAAGCACAGUCAAGCCAACAGAUUCAUCUCCAUUGUAGAAACACACAGUCAUUUUUACAACAAAGUGUUUUGGAAAUGCAAUUUUCUUUUACAUGCUGCUGUCUGAUUUUACUUUCUUUGUGUAAGAAGUGAAGAGAAAAUUUAAUUUCUGUUCAUUUUUUCUCUGUUAAUAUGUAAAACUGCAUUAUGUGAUAUGCAUAUGUGUGGUUUAUUGUAGUCACUUAAUUCUACACUGCAUUUUGUAAUACUGUGAAUUCAAUUCCUCCCAUUCCCUGAAAUGCAAGCAAAAUUCAGGACUCAAAGUUUUCCAUGUUCUCUUGUUCCCUGAUUUUUUCACUGUAAUUUACUUCUAAAACACAGCUUUGGGGUCAUAGCAGUACAUGAAAGAUAAAGUAUGUUGACAUGGAGAUUAUAAUUUUAAGAUAUAUCCUAAUUUUAAAAAAUGGAGCAACUGGAAAACAAUUGUAACUACUUAAAUAACAUGUCACACUUGGUAGCCUGAUUGCUGCCGCUGCACACAGAUAUCCAAGUGUUGAUGCUUGGUGAUGGGUGAAAUAAACUGAUUAUAAUAAAUCUUGAUUCAGCCUCCCCUAUGUCCACAGAAGCAGGGAAUGAAAGUAGAACCAGUGUAGAUGAAGACUAGCUCACGAAAUUCUCUGUGCUCAGCUCAGCUUCUAGUACAGCCUCAGUCAUCGUCUAAUCCGAGGGGAAAACUUGAAGGUCCUUCACCCUAAUUAAUGUUACAUUUGAAGCUGCCUUGAAAACCUUAUUUACAUCAGGUUACAGGUUCUCACAGUGUACAGGACUGAAACUGGCAGGUGAAAUGUGCAGCCCCUUUGGUAGCUUGAUUAUGGCCUUUGUUUGAUAAUGUAAUCUGGAGGGGAGUGGUUGGGGCUUGGGGUCAGGACAGUACUAUUGCAGUUUACACAGCAUGGGGCAGAGGUACAGAAAUUGGGAGACUGUUUAUGUGGUUUGUGGAGAGAAGUUUCUUCAUAAUACUAUUCUGCAUGUGUUGGUGGAUGGCACCUGCCAUGGUUCAUUUUCUAGAGGAACAAUCUCACUCUUAAUUAGGUGUGACAGAAGCACGUGAUCUCUAAACUUCAGAUCUGAAUUAAGUGCCUAAAACCAAAGAGUGUGAAACUACUUGUAGAUGUUCACUUAGGGAUCUAGUGCUAUUAAAAAUGCUAAUAAAUCAUUUAAAAUGAGACAGAAAAGUAGUUGCAUUUAUAUAUGCAGCUUUAAUGUGAACAAUUAAAGGGUUCAGGCAGUAUGUACAAUGAAGCAGGAAUAUGGGAAAGGAGUCUCACCUAAUUCUACGUUGUUCUAAUUUCCUUACAUUGAGGUAUGUAGAUGAGGUAUAACAAAUGCUUUCAUUUUCUCUGGAUGAGCACAUCAGUGUCAAUGGGUAAAGUAAAAAGGGAGCAAUUUUUAGAGAAAAAUGUAGUGUCCAAUUUUGGCUUUUCAAACUAAGUCCUUUGUCUGUCUUGUGAAUUGAAAAGUAAUCAUCUCUGUAAAGGGACUGUGAUAUUUGAGAGUGAGAUCUGUCAGCUAUCCGUCCUCUAAAGUUGGUUUGCAAAGGUUGUUUCAAUUCCACACCACCCACCAGAAGCAUUUGUCUCUUUUAGUUUUCACAUAUUUGGUUUUUAUCAACAGUAGGAUUUUUCUGAUUAUUGUGUUAUACAGUUAGUACACUUGCGUUUCCAAUCUUGAUUUUUACCUUUUGUAAAACCUUUUUGAUAUUUUAAAACUGAUAAUGAGAAAGACAUAACCCUUGUUAUGUAUGUAUUAUUAGUAAGCAUAGCACACACAGCACGUUCCCUUUUUUGGCACUAAGCCUAUUCAAUAUGUUUUGCAGGCAGCUGUUUCCUUAGAUUGUCUAUUUUCUUUCUUCUUAGUGCAGCUUUAAGACUGUAAUGCCAUGAUAUAAAAUGUUCUUACAACUUAUUUUUUCUCUUCAGGAAUUACUCCUACUAAACUUAAUCUACUUGGGUAUCCUUACAAGCUUGCUUACUUGGAGCUUGUUACCCAGCUCCAGCCCAUGUUAUUAAGCUCUACCUAUGUGUCGCUCAUGUCUUGGAGCACAGAGCAGAUUUUGGCUUUGAAUAAUGUCAGCCCCGUUUAUUUCUGCAUAUACUCCUUCAUCUUGAAAAUAGAGACAACUGCAUUGGAUUAAUAUAAUGGAAAAGUGCAUGGCAUAUGUGAGCCAAUUACAGGGACUUCUUAAAAUCCUACUUCCCAAAAUUGUCGGGGCAUUCUCUUCAGAUCACAAACAAGACAUAAUGCUAAGACAAUUGCAGGAACACAAACAUGCUGAGCAAGGCCUCUUCCAUGAGUAAAUUUGCACUAGCAGCCACAGGGCUACAGCUCUGUAAUAGUGGAAGAUCGGAGCCUAGGGAGGCCCUUAGGUACUUGAAACUGGAUAUGAGCAGAUAUUUAUUAAAUAAAAUUUAUAGAAUACUUUACUUUGAGGCAGGGUGCACAAUUUAUCCUUAAAGGACAUUAAAUUUUUUAUGAAGUUAGACAUAAACACAGGUACUGAAAACAGAGAAUUUACAGACAAUGAAGAUUCUUAUAAAACUAUAUAUUUAUAUGUAGGUCCAACUCUCAAAUAUGUACUUGCUGAUACAUCUUCUUCCACCAAAUUUUUUAAAAAGCUUUCUCAUGUUUUUAAAGUAGCUCAACACAUCCGAAAAUUUACUGAGCCAGGUAAAUAACUACGCGUUCAGGCAAACUGCAAACCAAUCUAACAUCAUUUAGUACUUUUCUUACAGUGGAUGUACCCUGUUCUAUUAAGAUUGUUAAAAUAAUUUCUUUUCUUUGUGAUCAGGCAAACCUUUAUCUGAAGCAAUACAUCAUUUUCUUAUCUAUAUCGUUCUGAAGAACACCAGAGCCAGCAGUGAUGUUAACUGUGCUGAGAGAAUCUUUGCUUUGGCAACAGGCAGGGCAAGCUCAACUGUAGUAUAGAUGGGCCAGUAGAAGCUGCACAAGAAGCACUGAAACCAGGGAGAACACGCUAAUAUAAUCAGCAUUUGAUUUAAGGUAUUUGACAUGAAAUUCUAGUAGAAAAUGGAUUUCCUAAUUUUAUCAGGGUACUUUUAUGUGUUGUGAAAGGCUGUCAGGGCUGCUGCUAAGGAGACAGUCAUUAUUGUCAAAUCUGUGAUGUCAAGAAGGAUAAAAUAGAACUAGGUGUUAGCCCACAGAAAGAACCAUUUUGCAACAAACAAAUACUGUCUUCAUCAAAACAGAACCAUCAACAUUGUCUAAACGCAGAGAGUGAGGUUUUCAACUAUGCAAGUAUUUGGUGAAGUAAAAGGGGAAAUUAAUCUGAAUUAUAUUUUUAAACACUUUUUAAUUAAAGUAAUAUGAGACAUUCGAGUACAACUCUCAAUGAAACAAAUUAAAAAUUUCUAUCACAUAUACAAUGAGGAGAUGAAAAAUAUUUUAAUACUUCUGUCCUCAUGUAAUGUAACUUCUAGUGAAGAGAAGUUACGAAGAACCUUUGCUCUGUUUGAAAGCAAUACAUUUGUCGUGAAAGCUAGCUCACUAUGAGGAUCUAAGAGAAGCCUGGUCUUUUAUGCUCAAGUAAUGUAAAAAAAGUAACAGAAAAAUGAAAAACACUGCAUAGCCUGUUUUUAUUAGUUGUAAUUCUUUAUUACUCUCCAUGAGCAGGCCAGGAAUUAAGAUGUAUGCUGCAUCAUAGUAUUUCCUUACAUCAUAUAAUUUUUGCAUAUGAUGUAAGUAUAACUUACAUCAUAGUAUUUCUGAAUACCAUAAUUACAUUUCUUUUCUGUUUAGCUAAUUAUUUUAAGGUUUUUUUUGGGGGGGUGUCUAAAAACAAAACUCAGCUUGCAGUCAUUGUACUAUAGAUAAUACAUGAAGUUUAAGGUAUUGUUCACUUUUUUUGCUAAAAACUGCAGCAUUUUUAAAGAAGAUAAUUGCAUAGUUACUGCUUGAAAAAUAUUAUGCAUUAUGCGCAAAUCACUCUAAAAAAUGUGAGCUUACAUUUUACGACAAAAAAUGCAUUUGUGUUCAUUACCUUUCCCUUUUAGUCUUUUAUGAUUAACAGUAUGCUGUGCAGAGUUUUACUGAAUACAUUGCAUUCUUUCUAAAGAAUGCCUCACAUCGAUUUUCGCAUUGUAUGGAGAAAACAUGGGAAUUUUUUUGAUCUUCUCUUCAUUUUCAUUAGAUUAAAUUACAUUUUACACUCUACCCUUAACUAUAUUUUUCUGCAUUCUUUAUUCUUUACAUACUGAUACAAUUAAGAUACUCUGGUAAACUGAAUAAGCAUUUUCAAUGAAAGCAAAUUCAGUCCCAUAUAGAAUUCUUCUAAUGUCACAAAGAAUAUGCAUGACUUUAUGACUCAAAUUUCCAGGACAGAGCAAAGGUUAAAUAAUCACAUUCUUCCCAUCUCACAUGGAUUCAAGAGUAGAUGAGUUGGGAAACUAUGCAAGCAAAGGACUCUGUCAAAAUGGAUUCAUCAUAACAUUUCUUCUAUUUAAUCACUGCAUUGUAAGUCACUCGUCUAUGUAAGAAAGCAGGAUCCUUAAGAUCAAGAACAAUGAACCUAGCAUUUGGUAUAUGAAAAACAAAGCAUAUGAGAAACAAAGGAACAUAUGCACUAGCUGGCUAGCAUACACUUAUGUGCCUGGUCACAGAAUCAAUGCAGAGUUAUUCACCAACAGCCAGUGAGCUUCCAACACAGCAUUUUUCAGAUUUCUAAUUUCUUAGCAUUCUGUUCCAUGUAGGUAAAGCCUUAUAAGGGCUAUAUAAAAUAAAGGCCUCGUUACCUUCGUAAAAUCAUGGCUGAGGCCUGUUACUUAGGCUAAGUGGAAGGGAGCUACGGGAGAGUGAGUAAGCUGGCAUAGGGAUAGAGAGACGAGCUCCAUGACUGCCCUGUGUCCACAUCAUAGUGGUGAUUGGUUGUGCCUUAAAACUAUGUAAACUGAUAACCAGCUAACUGCUUAAAAAGGCCUGGUUUUUGCAAUAAAGCAGUUCUCCUUUGCACCUGCCUGGGGACUCUGUGUCACUUUGCUUCAUACAGCAUUCCAUAAGGAAUUUGUUUUUGUAGUUCUGUAAAUAAUAGGAUCUCAUAUAUUAAUCAAUUUUUGCAUUUUUAAAAAACUAAACAUCAAUUAAAGAAAACAUAUUAAAAAAAAAACAAAAACCACACCACCUGUUUGCAAAGUCAUAGCAUUUUAUUUCUAGAUGACCUAUCUUUUUGUGUAUAUUGUUUUAUGUCUGGGAGGUGAAAUUAUAAUCCUGUUCCUUUGUGCACGAUGAAGUAUGUUUUACCUGCUAAGCAGAACACAAUAUACCAUAUAUAAGUCUCAAAAAAAUGUAAACCAAAUUUUCUAGAGUCAGUCAGUAUGUUAAACUAAUAUUGCCACAGCCUUCUGCUUCAAAAAUGGCCCCUAACAUUCAGAAACUUUGCAGCAUAUGUGCUGUUUCAACAGUGUACCUGGAAAAAAAGUUAAGAAUAUGGUUUUCCUCUUCAUUGAAGUCUUUCAGACAUGCCAUUAUCCUGUGAAAGAUGCAGUCUACCAACAGGUGAAAGAAGUAGAAGUAUGAACAAGAAUGGGGCAUUUCUAUAUUCUGAAACAUUAUUUUACAACUACUUAGAGAAAAAAAGGUUCCCAAGAUGUUCAGAAGAGCUAGUAAACACUGAAAACUGAAAUAUAUAUUUAACACAAUUGGGUACAUUGGGACAGUUCCACGUAUUAUUCUUAAUCCAUGUAUUAGUCAGGCUGUAAUCAUGACAAUAUUGAUAUUUUGUGCAGUGGAGGUAUUGAAUAUCUCAGCAUCUUUCUACUAUCUCAUCUGGGCACCUUCUGCCAGCAAAACUUAAAAGGAAUCUGUUAUACUUCUGUGAAUUCAUGCAUCUUGAGCAGAGCAAGACUACGCAAUCCUCCCAGAAUUGCGCAGAAACUUAAAAUUCACCACAGAAUAAAACUUUUGUCGUUUUCUUUGUAGUUUUGAUGUCAGCACAGCUUCUGAUUCCUCAGUGUUACUGUGAGUCUUUUCAGUAUAGUUUCAAUUGUAUGCGCUGUAGGAUCAGAUUGGAGCAAGAUGGAACCACUGAAGUCUGCUUUGACCCUGGAAUGAGAUUUUUACUUAAGUUUCUUAUGUCACUUGUAGCUCUUUAGUCUGGAAAAUAAAGAGUAGGUAUUUGACCCAACAGAAAUCUGCAUCCAUGUGUUUAUCUGCAUUAUACUCAAGGUCCUUCAUAACAACAGAAUUCAGCUACAGAGAGUGCCAUUUGCAGAAGACAGACCUUUUUUUUCCUUCAUUAUGUAAAUUGGAUUUUGCUGAACUAAAAAGAUUUUUUUAAGUGCUUUUUUUGAUUCAUUAUAUUAAGCAUAUAGAAUUUCUUAACAAAAACUUACUAAGGCAAAUUAAUCUACAGCCAUAUUUAUGAACAGUUGCCUGUGUUCCAGUUUUUCAAAGUUAAGCCUGAAAUGUUCCCAGCAUGAUUUUUCAGAGAUGGUGAGAGCCAACUACCUCUACUGAGCCUAUGGAGCACUGUGGUAAGUCGUGAAAACCACCGUGUUUUGAGUUAAGUACACAUGAAUAAGACUAAUGAAUAUGUCUGAAAUUUUUGGCAAUGUCCAAGUUCCACAGAGGUUACAUCAAAUAUGGUAAACAUCUGAAAUAAAUAACCGCUGUAUGGUCCAUCGUACAGAAUUUUAAUGCUAAAAAGUGGAAGUGUACUCAGCAUUUAUAUUCCUUUCUCCACUUUUUUAAUAGUCUAAUGAAAUCUAGACUCUAAUUAGUCUAAUGAAAUCUUGCUUGCUCAUGAUCUUUUUCCCUUUUACUCAAUCCUGUGUUGGAUUCAUCAUAAUCCUGUGUUUAAAGCAUCAGUCUGUUGUCAUGGAAGUGAUUAAUGUUACAAAUUCACUUAGAACUUCAUAACGCAAUCAAAUAUUUUUUUAAAAACUGACUGGAGAAGAAGAAAAUCAUUCAGAUACUAAAGCUUGGAUAACAACAUGAAAGGAAAAAUACAUAGGGAUAUACAAAGAGUAAGUGUUUUAUUACUGAAGUCUAUUGAAGGAAAUUUCUGUUUCAAAUAUAAUGUUGUUUUUAGAAUUGUAUGUAAAAUACAUGUACAAGUGUAUCAUAUAACCAACAUUGAACUAUUACAUAUACCAAAACAAAAGUACACAAAAUAGACACAGUAGUCAACAAGAAGUGAAGAUUAUAAGUGGGUUUUUUAAUGUUAAUGAUUAGAAAAUAAAUAUAUUUUAAUUAAGAGUUGGUACGUAUACUCUUUAUUCAUUACUGGAAAAGUUAAUUGAAGUACCAUUUAAAGAGAUAUUCAUAUUAAUGUUGGUAUGUUCACAAAAUGACAUUUCUCUAAAAUCAGAUUUUGCGUGUCUUUUUAGUCAUUUUUACUGUAUCCAAGUCUUCAAUUACAUGUGUUGGCUGAAACUUCUUGCUAGCUAUAUUAUGUGGUCUGUCAGACUUGUCAGAUACAGUAUGUCUUCGAGUAAAAAUGCACUUACAAGAUGCUCAGUGGCACCAAGUGAGCUGCAUUCCCAUUCCCACCAUAGAAUGUAACCAGCUGUUACACUUUUACUAAUACAAAACUAACAACAAAGGUAAUAAACAGAUAAUUGCAAGAAUUUGAAGACAGCAAUUUUGGAAAAAAAAAUUAAGGAGCUGCUGCAGCCUUCUGAAUAUAUUUGUUCAAAUCCCAUCAAGUGGCAAAGCAAUUUGUUUCUUCAUAACAAGACUGAACAGCUUUGUGGAUGGGAUAAAGUAUUUAAAAUAUAUUUCAUCAGUAUUUCCCUAUUGUCUAGCUUAGUUUGUUGCCUGCUUACAUUGCUUUUUUGGCUAUACCAGUUUUAAAAUGCCCACUUUUCCUCGUGGAGGUUCCAAAAACCUGUGGAGCCCAGCAGUGCACCUAGGUGUCCUAAAAACUGUGUGUUGAAAUAUUCUCUAUCAUGAUGCCUCUGUCAUGUUUGUACAGAGUAACAAAGGCCAAAGUGCUUACAUUAAAGAUACGUCAUACAGGCAGGCCUCACAAAGGGUGCAGGUGGACAUGUAGAAUGUAGACCCUUUUUGUUCUGUACCUUUUCUAAAAAAGGUAAAAAUGCCCAGAUCUUGCCUAAUCUUGGAGCCAGGAGAUCGGUGGAAUGUGCAAUUUGAUCUGAAGAGAUGGAGAGCCAUCAGCUACAUAUGACCUGGGAGAACUAAGGAAAAGGACUAGAUGUCCUCUUGUUUCUGUUCUACCUCCAGGUUAGAUUCUUGUACAAGAUAAAUUUAUAAACCUGUUCUGGUACUGGUUUUGUGUGGUAUUUGAAUACUUACCCUGUAAUAGUAACAGCUGCACAUCUAAGACACCAAUCCAAACCUCAUUGGAAUCAGUGGAGGGUCCCACUGAAAAAAAAAUACUGGCAAUAUGUUAAAGUUGGGAGGUCAGAGGUUGCUGAUAGCUAAUAUAAUCCAUCUUCAUAAUAACAAGGAGUUUAUGCUGCCUGAACUUAUCUUAUUAGUAUUUAAUUGGAAGCCAGGCAUAAACUUCUUUCAGUCAGCACUUCAUUAAAUUCACAAGCAUUCCCACACACACUUGUGUGUGGGAUGCAGAGUAGAUGAGAGACAUUUGACUACUUGGAGGCUGACUUUGGCACAGAGCUAUUCAUACAGACACACUGUUUCUUUUCCAUAUUUGAAGAGAAAAACCAGAAAACUAUUUCAUGCUAUACAACAAUGCUGCCUAUAUUUGUCCCCCUGUACACACUAUGUAACAGUUUACUCUUGUAAUAAAUGUAGCCAUUUAAACUAAGAUUUGGUAUGGUGAAUACCUGCCACAGGCUUUGCCUAAGUUUAAACCCAAAUGGCCCAGUAAUUUCUGAGAUUUUUGCAGGAAAUUAAUUAUCUUGAAAGAUAUGCCAGCUAGCCCUUUUAUCAUCUCCUUGUCUUGUUACAGAGUACUACACUUCAUCAGUGACAUCACUGGAGUGCCAAGGAUGUGCCUUUUACUGACUUCAUCCUUCUGUCAAAAGUCAUGCAAACGGGCUAAGUUGUAGUAUUUCCUUCUUGAAGGACAUAAAAUUUAGAAAGCCAUGUUAAAACAUGGCAAGUGUGUCUUAAAGAAAAGUAGUGCCAUAUGGUAAUAUAAAGGCAGUAUCAUAGAGGUAAUUAAAUCCAUGCAAAUAACUGCUAAAUAUGUUUGAAAGCACUUUUAAAGCUACAUUUUCUAUAUAUGGACUAUAAGGACGAAAACAAGGUACAGACUAUGCCCAUUUACAUUUUUUUUCCCCUUGGAGGAACAAAGUUCUGCUCUAAGGGCAGCAAUUCUCAGCCUUACAGUGCUGAUGUUCUUGUUCCUGGUGAUGUAUUUCACUCGUUUUCUACCUCAGAUCUCCAUAUGUGUUUACAAACCUGAACCUACUUUCCACCUUUGGAGAUAACUUCAGCAACCUGUAGAAAAAUUGAGCAUAUAACUACCUGCAAUGGAUGAGAAAGUGAAACAUCUUCAGGUAGCUCAUUACCACUACAGACAGAAACUCUCAGGUCUGCCUGUGGGAAUUGACAGGAGAGAAAUACCUCAUAGUCAACGAUUGUGGGACAUGUGGAAAUCACUCUGGAGUGGCAGCAGUGUGUCUAAGUCCAUUGUUACCCAGAUAGACUCCAAUGCUCUUCUGAGAAAAAGGGCCACUUCCAGUCAAUUUUGAAGACAUAGUAUGUACAACUGAAGAAGAGAGAGAAGACUGGUGUGUAGUCUCUGAAGGGUUUCUGUAAUCUCUUAAGGCCACACUUGAACAAAAAGAGAAUAUUUUCCUUAAGAAACAUUAUCACAUGAAUUUAAGGUGAGCAGGAUUAUCAGAAGAAAAAAUAACAAAAGUAUGAAGCAAGUGAGUGAGUGAAAACAUCAGAUUCACAAAUGUCACAUCGACAGAUCGAAACAUAGUGAUAGCAUGGAACCAGGAGACCCUCAGGCUUUUGUCACUACUUGGAUUCAUUAUAUGACAUCAUAUUUAUAAUCUUCUGAGAGCAACCUGACUUUUUGUACAAUCUGACAUGGUACUUAACUGUUUAUUCACAUCAAAUAUAACACAUGAAAGUGAGAAGUUUGUAGCGUUUUUAGCAAGGACAUUUUCCUUCUCAACCUGCACUUGUUAAGAAGAUGAGAGACAUGAAAAAAACCAGAGUGGUUUCUAAAGAAUUCAGACUGCAGAAGUGGUUUUCCUCCCUCUGAAUGUCACCUACAGGCCACGCUUUUGGGGUUUUUUUAUGUGGAGAGACUAGUGCAGAGAUAUUACAUGAAUCAUAUUCAAGUAUAGAUCAUAGUAUAAUCUCAGUAUAGAAAGAGAAAAUUCCCUAGUGGACUCUGAGAUAUAAACUAUUCUUUUUGAUUUCCAUGUAUCUGUCACUGUGUUGCUUGGACUUACAGUAAAAUUUAUUGAUACAGAAAUUGUAUCGGAUUAAUAUAUAAACCAAAAGACUGUACCUCCCUUCCAUACCCUUUUUAACACUAGCACUGAGUUAUUCUAUAGGCAAUUAAGAGUAAUCUCUGGAGUGUUAGCUCUUGUUCUUGUGGGAGACUUCAAAUUCACAGACGUUUACUGCAAAUACCAUACUAACGUUACAAGCAAGUCUGGGCAAUUCCUGGAGCUGCUUCAAGAUAAUUUCUUGCCACAAAUCCUCCAACUAGAAAAGAUGCCUUCCUAAAUAUGUUAUUUGUUUCUAGAGAGGUACUCAUGCAUGUGAUGAUAGUUGUUUGUCUUGACUACAGUGAGGUUGAAAUGGUUUGAGAUCAAAAUUCUUAAUGUAAUGAGCAAAAAAGUGCAACACUGUUUCUACUGUGAAUUUCAAGAGAGCAAAUUCUCAGCUACCCAAGGGGCUACUUUGCAGUGUCCCUAGGAAUAUGCUUUGGAGGCCUCUAUGGGUGCUGGUCAGCCUUAAAGAACCACUGUUGAUAAGUGUGGAAGCAGGCCAUCCUAUUGUGUCACAGGUCAAGCAAGCAGGACAGAAGAUCAGUUUGGCUUAACAGGAAACUCCUCUUGGAACUCAAGAAGAGAAAAAGAUUGGAUGAUAUAUAGAAGUAAGAUCAGAACUUGCAGGAA
Zonotrichia albicollis (white-throated sparrow) is the source of this 13190-nucleotide non-coding RNA. Lineage: Eukaryota; Metazoa; Chordata; Aves; Passeriformes; Passerellidae. The record is from RefSeq and is a predicted model, not a curated record.